UGGACACUAAUUCAACUGCAUUUAGAAAAUUUUACUAGAAAACAAAAUUCUUUACAUAAAACGGAUACAUGUACGGCCUCGCCUUCAAACCCCAAAAGACAGCAUCGAUCUUUUCUUUCAUCAGUAUGUUUAGGAUAAAUCUCGCAAAUUUUCAAUGGAUGUCACCACUAGCUCCUUUUACUUGAUCCUGAUCACGAUCCCUCGUCUGCCUAUCCUCGUAAUGCUCAUCAGCUUCCCUAAGAAAGUUGGAAUGUCGAAGGCUCUUGGAUGAUCAGCUUGAAUUCUCGGGCCACGAAGUAAAGUCAUGUACUUCUCCAUCACCUUUUUUUUGUUUCUUGAAAUAUAUUCGGACAACCGUAUUAUCUUCCAUUUUAUUAAGAAAUUCGUAUUCCGUGGUAAGCUCUCUAAUUUGAUAAUCAAACUUGAAUGAACACCUCUUUUCUAAAGAUGCAAAUGCAAAGCAAUCAUAAUCAAAACCAAAACGAAACGGGUUAAUAUAAAACAAAAGCAAACAAGAAAAAAUAAAGUACCUAUUCGGGCAACCACUAGGAGUUUGGAGUAGCUCUACCUAGGUUGGGCUCCUAAGGUUCACUAUAUGUAGUUUGACUUCUAGUGCAAGAAUACCCGAACCAGCAGAUUCCUCGAUCCUCACCCAUUAUAGGCUCAUAUGGACCAAGUUCGGUUCAGGGGAAUACAUUUCCCUAUGACUAUACAGAGAUGAAAAUCUCACGAAGGCAUAGGUACGGAUGUAUCCCGAAAGCGAUCCAAUAUCCUAUACGAAGGUGAAAACCUCACGAAGGAAUAGUUUCUCACUCCAACUUAAGGAGUAAAAUCGUCCAUAGAAUGCAAAAUGCAAAUAAACUAACAGACUUAAAUCAAUUAAGCAAACAUAUCAGGAUGAAAACCAAUAAAUGCAAAGGGGAAAUCGUGAUUUAAAACAAAUUUUGGUUUUAAGUAUGUAUAAGUAUUUUUUUCUUUUUUUGCAUAUAUUUCAUCUUUUAUAUGCAUAUAUACACCUAUAAAUAUAUAUACAUAUUUUAAAUCAUAUACAUAUAUUUAUAUAAAAAUACUUACCUAUAUUUCUUUAUAUGUUUCAUAGUUUUAAAAUAUAUACAUACGUAUGUUCUUGUUUUAUAUCAUAUAUUUUAUAUUCUUCAACUUUAUUUAUUUCCUUUAUUGUUUCAUCGUUUCGCGUAAUGCUUACCUUUUUUUUAUGCUCAUUUUAUUUUGAUUUGACUCAUUUAUUUACUUAUUAUCUUACAUAGUCAAUUCGCCUAUUCUUUUAUUUAUAGUUGCUCAUGCUAUUUAUGCUUGCAUUAUCGUAUUCAUUAUUGUUUUGUUAUACAUGCCAACAAUUUGAUUUAUUUUUGCAUUUUUACCAUGACAUCUAUUUCAUUUUACUCGAUAUAUCAAAAUUUGUUCCAAAUAAAUAGCAUUUCGUAUUUUGAGAUUCAAAAAAGUUGUAUCCUAACUUACAGGAUUUUUAUUUUUCUUAAUAUAUCUAAAUAUAUGAAUCUUUUCAAGCAAUUUUUACGAUUUCGGGAUUUAACAAAAGAUCAUAUUCUAACUUACGGGACAUGAUUUCUUUUCUAACUCGAGAUAAUCGAAUAUCUCAAAUAAAUAAAUUUUCCAACAUUCGUAUCAAGAAUUUUAAACAUUACAUCCCGUAAGUUGGGACGUAAUUCUCUUUCUUGAUUUCUCAAAAAUUUACCAACAUUGUUCUUAUCCCCAAAACUACAAAUCCAACAAAUCUAAAAUUUUUUAAACUUAUUAGCAUAUGCAUAGUUUUAUAUAAGAUUAUAUCAAAAGUGAUUGCCAAUCGUUUUCAAAAAGUUUUAGAUGUAUGCAUUGCCCAAAGUACUUUUGUGCCAAGAAGACUCAUUACAGAUAAUGUCAUUUUAGCUUAUGGGUUAAUGCAUACACCCAAGCAAAGAAGAAUAUAGCAACAUGGAAGUUUAGCGCUAAAAUUAUACAUGAAUAAGUCUUCCAAUAGAGUGGAAUGGGUCUUUUUGAAAAAAGUUUUGAAAAAUUUAAGGUUUAUAAAGUCUUUUGUGACUAUAAUGAUGGGAUGUGUUACAUCGAUAAGUUAUUCGAUUUGUCUAAAUGUAGAGCUUGGCGAAAGAUUCAAACCAAUGAGAAGAUUGAGACAAGUUAACCCGUUAAGCCCUUAUUUAUUCUUAAUUUGUAGCAAGGGGUUAUCAUCGUUAAUAAGGCUAGCUAUAUAGGAUGGUAAAAUUAAGGGGGCUAAGGUGCGUCGAAAAGGACCUACUAUUACUCGUCUCCUCUUUGCAGACGAUUGCAUUCUUUUUGGAGAUGCCAUGGAAAGGGGAGCUCAUAACCUUAAAAUAAUUUUACGAGAAUAUGAGUGCUGUUUUGGUCAAUGCAUAAAUUUUUACAAGUCAGUGGCAUUUUUUAGUUCAAACGUUUAGGAACAAAAGAGGGAGCAAAUUGCAGGUAUAUUUGGAAGUCCAAACUUUUAGAGAUCUAGAAAAAUACUUGUGAUUGCCUAAUAUGAUAGGGAGGGACAAAAAAAGGAAUUUCCAAUUACUAAAAGAUAAGAUGAUGAGUAAAAUUAAAUGUUGUGUCCGAGACUCUUGUUGGUUAGAGGAAGGGAGGUUUUUAUAAAAGCAAUUUUAUAUACAAUUCCCACUUAUGCGAUGGCAUGCUUUUUGUCACCAAAAUCGUUUUGUACAGAAUUGGAAAACAUUAUGAGUCGAUUUUGGUGGCAAAAAAGUCACGACAAACGGGGGAUCCAUUAGUGUGAGUGGAGAAGGCUUGGUAAACUAAAAGAGGACGGAGGAAUGGGAUUUCAGUGUUUAUAAAAUUUUAAUGUAGCAAUGUUAGCAAAACAAGGGUGGCGUUUGAUUUGUUAUUAGGAUUCAUUAUUAGCAAAAUCAUUAAAAUCAAAGUACUAGCCAAAUUCUAAUUUCAUGCAAGUUAGGUUGGGGACAUUACCAUCCUAUACCUAGAGGAGUAUAUGGGAGGUAAAAGGACUCCUUGAAAAAGGUUUUUGCUGACGAAUUGGAUCAGGAAAACAUGUUCAAAUUUGGGAUGAAGCUUGGAUCCCAGGCACUAACGACUACAAAUUAGAGAAUUCAAAUAUUGAUCAAUGGUUGGGACAUGUAUCAAAGCUUAUUGAAUAGGAUACAAACAAAUGGAAAGAAGAGUUCAUAAGGAGUACCUUUCACCCCACAGACGCCGAAAUUAUCCUGUGCAUCGCCCUUCAUUUAGAGGGGGAAAUGGAAAGAAUGGUUUGGUGCGGUGAAACGUCAGGCAAGUAUAGAAUGCGGAGUGGGUAUAAAAUUUUAAUAUAGACCAAAAGCCAAACAAAUAUGUAAGCUAACCACAAUUAUUACAAGCCACUGUACAAAAAACUAUGGUCGAUUGAUUUUCCCUCAAAAACAAAAUUCCUAGUCUAGAAAACUCUAAAUAAUUAUCUACCUACUUUCUCUAAUUUUUUCCAAAGAAGAUUGGCCAGUAGUAGUAAUUGCCCUAGAUGCAUCAACUAUCCCGAAACUACAUAUCAUGUAUUCAAGGACUGCCCUUUUGCUGUUGCAGUUUGGUCAAGGUUGGGCUUUAGAUGGUCCCUAAAACAAAAUCAAUUGCAAUAUAAGGACUGGGUGAAGAUGUUGUUUCAAAAAGAAUCAAGUCAACAAAUAAAGAUUAUUGUAGGGACCAUUUAGGGGUUUUGGAUGGCUAGGAAUAAAUUGGUACAUGAGAAUUUGGUUCAGUUUGAAACCUGCCUAAUUCAGUUUAUCCAAAGCUAUAUAAAGGAAAUUGAUGGAGUAAAGAAGAAAUUACCUGUGAACCCAGUACAAAAGGAAAAUUGGAAACCCCCGGAAGGAUUGAAUGUAAAAAUUAACUUCGACGCUGCUUUCGACAGACAGAAAAAAAGAUCAUGCAUUGGAAUUGUGAUCAGAAAUUCUGACGGUGACAUCCUAAAAUCAAUAAUCUAUGAAAACGAGCACAUAUCGACAACCUUUGCAGCCGAGGCUCUCGCAUGCGUCCAAGUAGGGAGAUUUAGGGCAGAAUCUGGUUUCCUACGAGUUGAAAUUGAAGGCGAUGCGUUAUCUAUAUUUUGGAAAAUACAAAGAUAAGAUGAAGAUAGAUAAAAUAUAAGGGCCUUUAUUUCUGAUGCAAAACGAAUGAGAAGGAACUUUAUCUCUUGUAGAUUUCAACAUGCAAGUAGACAAGCAAACUUAGUGGCCUAUUCCCUAGCAAUAGAAGGGUUAAAAUAUAGAGAAAAUACUCAUCUGAAUAUGAUCGGACCUAGUGUGGUCGUUAGGGUCGAUGCGAAUGAUAGGAAUGGUGUCACCGAAGGUAGCAGAGGGGUUAGGACUUAAAAUCAGGACAUGAGAAGGGCUGUUAAAAGAAAAAGGGAAAACAUAUCAGGGAAAGGAACGUUGAGUUGUAAAUUAUUAGAAUAAGAAAUGGGAUAAUAUAAAGGACGGGUACCUCAGAUAAACAGAUGGUAGAAAUCCGGCAACAAAUAAUGCGAGUUAAGUCCGCCAUUAAAGAGGUACGAGUCAUGUAAUGAGGGUGGAGUGUGUGGAUUUGCUUCGAAGCAUUGAAAGGACGAAAUAGGUAAAGAAGACGGAGGAAGCACAUAAAUGGAAUUGGGUGCUGGUUUGAUUUUUUAGGGUUUGUUACUUUUUUGUUGUUUUUUCUUAGGAUCUGGA
RNAcentral lists this long non-coding RNA (4679 nucleotides) under Gossypium barbadense (sea-island cotton). RNAcentral describes it as "long non-coding RNA (GBAR_LNC021675)". Lineage: Eukaryota; Viridiplantae; Streptophyta; Magnoliopsida; Malvales; Malvaceae. The record is from RNAcentral.